This 578-nucleotide small RNA is filed under the name Pan troglodytes (chimpanzee). Its description in RNAcentral is "retained intron". Lineage: Eukaryota; Metazoa; Chordata; Mammalia; Primates; Hominidae. The record is from RNAcentral.
AUUAUAAACAGGUAACAUUGCCCCUUCAUCUCGGCAGAGCUCAACCUGGGUGACAAGUGUCUGGACGGCGUGCUGAACAACAACAGCUACGAGUCAGACAUCCUGAAGAAUUACCUGGCAACCAGAGGUUUGACAUGGAAAAACAUGUUGACCGAGAGCCUCGUGGCUCUCCAGCGGGGAGUGUUUCUGCUGUCUGAUUACAGAGUCACGGGAGACACCGUUCUGUGUUACUGCUGUGGCCUGCGCAGCUUCCGUGAGCUGACCUAUCAGUAUCGGCAGAACAUUCCUGCUUCCGAGUUGCCAGUGGCCGUAACAUCCCGUCCUGACUGCUACUGGGGCCGUAACUGCCGCACUCAGGUGAAAGCUCACCACGCCAUGAAAUUCAAUCAUAUCUGUGAACAGACAAGGUUCAAAAGCUAAGCAUCCAGAGGCCCUGAGCAGCUUUCAGCACUGGAGGUAUCAUGAUAUUAGCUGGUUUGACAUCAAGCCAUUUGUGAGUCAUCAGAUCUUCUGAAAAUGGGAGACACAGUAGGGCCCCUCCCAGGAGCUCUUGGCUGUUGCUGAUGGCAGAAGCCAAG